UUUUUGUUGGCAGAAUUUAUAAUGCGUUAAGUUUAGGACUUAAAAAUGUUUUAUAACA
RNAcentral lists this transfer RNA (58 nucleotides) under Hypsibius dujardini. Its description in RNAcentral is "transfer RNA-Leu(UAG)". Lineage: Eukaryota; Metazoa; Tardigrada; Eutardigrada; Parachela; Hypsibiidae. The record is from RNAcentral.